AUGUCAGGUGUACCCGCGACUGCUCGUUUUACGAACGCUUAAAAGUUUAUAGGCGGCAGUAAACGGCCGCAUUUACCUUUAUUUCGCCGGUUCCCGGUCGGGCGAACAACUCGUUUCUAAAGGGCUAUCCCGAGGCCUUUUUAUUCUCUCUUCCGAAUGCUUGUCUCUUCAUUCACUUUUGUAGACCAUUAUAGCGCCUCUCUCGUAAUACGAGACGUCAGUCGAUUUGUCUUUGAGACGGGUUUUUAGUGCUCCACUGACGAACGAGAAAUAAACUAGAAAUCGCUAAAUACGUGAUUACUGUCGUGCAUGGUUACCGAAGAUGUUAUCGACGUAUGGUAAGAGCUCUAGUGUGGAAGUUUUGAUGGAAGUUUAUGGGAGUGUAAUUUCGUUGACAUUAGAAAGUGAAAUGGUGUGAUUCCGUGAUACUGAAUGAAAUAAAUCUAGUGUGGUGUGAAAUUUAUAGAAUGAUAGAUUAUGAAAGAUGAAGUGAAAAUUAGAAUAUAUUUGAAAUUACUUAUUUGAUUAUAGAAAGAUCUCCAAGAAAGAUUUCUUAAUAGCGAGGAAAGCUCGAACAUAAAUGCUAUUCUUAAGUGUCACGACAUGUGAUUCCAAUUAAAUGUCACUAACAAUAAGUAUUCGGAUGAUCAUUUGAAUCUUCGAAUCGGCAAACAUGUGAAUCACGUCUAAACACAGCGUUUAAGGACAAGGCCACAAACAAUCGAAUCACCGUUGAACGACGUGAAUUAUUGGCGCAGUUGGGAUACACCGUGGCCUGGAAUGAUCUACGACGAUCGUAAAACCUGCUCGAUCGUAAAUCGUCGCAGUACAUUCUAAAGCCGUCACAUAACGAUAGUAAUGACCGAUACGAACGAUCGAGCGUCGAUCGCUGUGAUUUCCAUUCAAAAUUCGCUUAUACAUUCAUACGAACGACACAAUGAACAUGGAACAAGUAGCGACGCCAAUCGAACGGUGAUCUCAUCGAUGAAUCACGAUCCUCGAUCAUUCCUUUUCCUUUCUGCUUUCGUUUUAAACCGGGUUAGCUGUCGGCAGCCACAGUUGUCUGCUCGCUGUUUAUACGUUUAAAUGUUAUUGCUCGUAAAAACGACACAUUACGUAGCUGUUUGUUCUUUUCCAAGUAUCUUGAAUGGAAUCUUAUCCGCUUCACCGGUGGCAAAGAUUUUUAUUUUUUUUAUUUUUUUUUUUUUGAAUUGAAAUGAUGAAAUUGUAUAUAAAAGAUAGGUUAGUUUAGGUAAUUGAUAUUUGAAAUUGUCUAGAUAAUGAUAUGAUAAUAUAUACUUUCGAUAUUUCUAAUGAAAUUUAAUUUUUUACUGGCAUUUUAUACAUUUUCUUAAAUAGCAUCGUUAAUUUUUUAAAUUAUUAUUUCAAUUUUUAUUAAUUUAUUGAUAAAAUUAAAAGGAUUGUUAUUACAAAUAUUGAAGAAUGUUAUCUCAAUUAAUGCUCAAUUAAUGUUUACGUUCCAAUAAAUCAAAUUUUUUAUUUCUUCAUUAUCUAAAGAGUAAAUACACGUCUACUUUAUCAUCAUUUAUCUUUUCCUGUCUUUUAAAAAAUCUUCGUAUUAUACUUACAACAUGUUUGAAUCAUUGUCACACAAGACAUAGCAUGACACAAUAUUGGUGCGAAAUUUCUCGUCAAAUGACAGCUUGACAUGAAUGAAGCCACGUAGGAUCAUAGAAACGACACUCAUCCGAGAGAACGAGCGAUUACGCAAGUUGUCGGUUUUAUGAGCAAAAUAGUGACUCUCGGGACAACGACUGCCAGCAAACAUGAGUCAAGUGAUGACCUCAAUGACACGAUAAUGACAUGAAGUUGAAAAAAUAUCUAAAAAUUUGAAAUCGCUUUUAAAUUAAAUUAUUUUUUUUUUUAUUGAAAAUAAUUUAAGUAUAUCGAUAAAUUCUUUACGAGGCAAUUUUUUAAGGUUAGCAAAUCCUAAUUUGCUUAAUUUUUGAUUAAUUUGAUUCUUGAAGUUAAAUAUUUUUCGCGUCGAAAUUUUUAAUUGGUAAUAUACAUUCACUGUAUAAAUUACCGAAAAUAUUUUUACCAAAGUUCGAAAUACGUUUUUUGUUGAUACUAGAUCAUUAAAUGUGAAAUUAGAUUAAUAUUCUACUAAAUAGUGUCGACUUUGCUAUUUAUAAAUUAUACGUUAAUUGUAUUUAAUUGCAAGAUAUUUUUGUAUUUAAUUGCAAGAUAUACGUAUAUCCGUUUCGUUUUAUGUUUAAUAAAUUUAUUAACUCUC
Apis cerana (Asiatic honeybee) is the source of this 2257-nucleotide long non-coding RNA. RefSeq lists it as uncharacterized. The record is from RefSeq and is a predicted model, not a curated record. NCBI's taxonomy places the organism in Eukaryota, Metazoa, Arthropoda, Insecta, Hymenoptera, Apidae.